RNAcentral lists this ribosomal RNA (497 nucleotides) under uncultured bacterium. Its description in RNAcentral is "partial 16S ribosomal RNA". It matches the Rfam family "Bacterial small subunit ribosomal RNA", at positions 28 to 507 of the family's 1533-position model. The record is from RNAcentral.
GAUGAACGCUGGCGGCGUGCCUAAUACAUGCAAGUCGAGCGAACAGAUGGGGAGCUUGCUCCUCUGACGUUAGCGGCGGACGGGUGAGUAACACGUGGAUAACCUACCCAUAAGACUGGGAUAACUUCGGGAAACCGGAGCUAAUACCGGAUAAUAUAUUGAACCGCAUGGUUCAAUAGUGAAAGACGGUUUUGCUGUCACUUAUAGAUGGAUCCGCGCCGCAUUAGCUAGUUGGUAAGGUAACGGCUUACCAAGGCAACGAUGCGUAGCCGACCUGAGAGGGUGAUCGGCCACACUGGAACUGAGACACGGUCCAGACUCCUACGGGAGGCAGCAGUAGGGAAUCUUCCGCAAUGGGCGAAAGCCUGACGGAGCAACGCCGCGUGAGUGAUGAAGGUCUUCGGAUCGUAAAACUCUGUUAUUAGGGAAGAACAAAUGUGUAAGUAACUAUGCACGUCUUGACGGUACCUAAUCAGAAAGCCACGGCUAACUACGUG